AUGGUAGGAUAGAGGCCUACCAUGGUGGUAACGGGUAACGGGGUGUUAGGGCACGACACCGGAGAGGGAGCCUGAGAAACGGCUACCACAUCCAAGGAUGGCAGCAGGCGCGCAAAUUACCCAAUCCCGACACGGGGAGGUAGUGACAAUAAAUAACAAUACGGGGUUCUUUAGGAUCUCGUAAUUGGAAUGAGUACAAUUUAAAUCUCUUAACGAGGAACAAUUGGAGGGCAAGUCUGGUGCCAGCAGCCGCGGUAAUUCCAGCUCCAAUAGCGUAUAUUAAAGUUGUUGCAGUUAAAAAGCUCGUAGUUGAAUUUCGGGGUCAGUAGGUCGGUCGUGCCACUGGUAUGAACUGGUUUUACUGAUUCCUCCCUCUUGAAGAACUGUAAUGCCAUUAAUUUGUUGUUGCAGGGAAUCAGGACUGUUACUUUGAAAAAAUUAGAGUGUUUAAAGCAGGCCUUAGCUUGAAUACAUUAGCAUGGAAUAAUGAAAUAGGACGUUUGAUCCUAUUUUGUUGGUUUCUAGGACUGACGUAAUGAUUAAUAGGGAUAGUUGGGGGCAUUAGUAUUCAAUUGUCAGAGGUGAAAUUCUUGGAUUUAUUGAAGACUAACUACUGCGAAAGCAUUUGCCAAGGAUGUUUUCAUUAAUCAAGAACGAAAGUUAGGGGAUCGAGGACGAUCAGAUACCGUCGUAGUCUUAACCAUAAACUAUGCCGACUAGGGAUCGGAUGAUGUUAAUUUUUUAAUGACUCAUUCGGCGCCUUACGGGAAACCAAAGUGUUUGGG
This 785-nucleotide ribosomal RNA is filed under the name uncultured Glomus. Its description in RNAcentral is "SSU rRNA". It matches the Rfam family "Eukaryotic small subunit ribosomal RNA", at positions 325 to 1111 of the family's 1831-position model. Lineage: Eukaryota; Fungi; Glomeromycota; Glomeromycetes; Glomerales; Glomeraceae. The record is from RNAcentral.